Molecule: transfer RNA, 120 nt
Filed under: Aspergillus egyptiacus
Lineage: Eukaryota; Fungi; Ascomycota; Eurotiomycetes; Eurotiales; Aspergillaceae
Description: tRNA-Leu
Rfam family: tRNA
About the family: Transfer RNA (tRNA) molecules are approximately 80 nucleotides in length. Their secondary structure includes four short double-helical elements and three loops (D, anti-codon, and T loops). Further hydrogen bonds mediate the characteristic L-shaped molecular structure. tRNAs have two regions of fundamental functional importance: the anti-codon, which is responsible for specific mRNA codon recognition, and the 3' end, to which the tRNAs corresponding amino acid is attached (by aminoacyl-tRNA synthetases). tRNAs cope with the degeneracy of the genetic code in two manners: having more than one tRNA (with a specific anti-codon) for a particular amino acid; and 'wobble' base-pairing, i.e. permitting non-standard base-pairing at the 3rd anti-codon position.
Source: RNAcentral
GGCAAGGUGGCCGAGUGGUCUAAGGCGCACGGUUCAGGCUAACUGAAUCAACUUGAGAAUUCUAACGAUUUUCAAUUCCGUGUCAUGAAAAUGGCGUGGGUUCGAAUCCCACCCUUGUCA